Neolamprologus brichardi is the source of this 226-nucleotide long non-coding RNA. RefSeq lists it as uncharacterized. Lineage: Eukaryota; Metazoa; Chordata; Actinopteri; Cichliformes; Cichlidae. The record is from RefSeq and is a predicted model, not a curated record.
CCACAGGUCUGUUCUCUCCUUUCUGCAUGACCCUCAGCUGCACACAGCGUCAGAGAAUUUCACUCAGCAAAGACGUCUUUACUAACUGGUGCUGCAGACGAGCGCCUCGUGAUUGAACAACUGGAACCAACCACUCAUAUGUCAAGGAAAAAAUGAAGGGAAUCACGAGGGUUCAGUGUUCCUGCUUGCUGCUGCUUCUGCUCUCUGCUGCUGUGCUCGCACAAAC